CCUACGGGAGGCAGCAGUGAGGAAUAUUGGUCAAUGGACGAGAGUCUGAACCAGCCAAGUAGCGUGAAGGAUGACUGCCCUAUGGGUUGUAAACUUCUUUUAUAUGGGAAUAAAAUGUUCCACGUGUGGGUUUUUGUAUGUACCAUAUGAAUAAGGAUCGGCUACCUCCGUGCCAGCAGCCGCGGUAAUACGGAGGAUCCGAUCUUUAUCCGGCUUUAUUGGUGUUAAAGGGAGCGUAGGUGGAUUGUUCAGUCAGUUGUGAAAGUUUGCGGCUCAACCGUAAAAUUGCAGUUGAUACUGGCAGUCUUGAGUACAGUAGAGGUGGGCGGAAUUCGUGGGGUAGCGGUGAAAUGCUGAGAUAUCACGAAGAACUCCGAUUGAGAAGGCAGCUCACUAGACUGCAACUGACACUGAUGCUCGAAAGUGUGGGUAUCAAACAGGAUUAGAGACCCGAGUAGUC
Molecule: ribosomal RNA, 460 nt
Filed under: uncultured bacterium
Lineage: Bacteria
Description: partial 16S ribosomal RNA
Rfam family: Bacterial small subunit ribosomal RNA
Source: RNAcentral